GGGGAUCUUUCUACGAUUUCCGUGCCGUAGCCAACGCAUUAAGCGCCCCGCCUGGGGAGUACGGCCGCAAGGCUAAAACUCAAAGGAAUUGACGGGGGCCCGCACAAGCGGCGGAGCAUGUGGAUUAAUUCGAUGCAACGCGAAGAACCUUACCUGGGCUUGACAUACACCGGAUCGGCGCAGAGAUGCGUCUUCCCUUGUGGCUGGUGUACAGGUGGUGCAUGGUUGUCGUCAGCUCGUGUCGUGAGAUGUUGGGUUAAGGCCCGCAACGAGCGCAACCCUUGUCUUGUGUUGCCAGCACGUAAUGGUGGGGACUCGCGAGAGACUGCCGGGGUUAACUCGGAGGAAGGUGGGGAUGACGUCAAAUCAUCAUGCCCCUUAUGUCCAGGGCUUCACACAUGCUACAAUGGCCGAUACAGUGGGUUGCGAUACCGCGAGGUGGAGCUAAUCCCUUAAAGUCGGCCUCAGUUCGGAUUGGAGUCUGCAACUCGACUCCAUGAAGUCGGAGUCGCUAGUAAUCGCAGGUCAGCAACGCUGCGGCGAAUACGUUCCCGGGCCUUGUACACACCGCC
This 572-nucleotide ribosomal RNA is filed under the name uncultured bacterium. RNAcentral describes it as "bacterial SSU rRNA". It matches the Rfam family "Bacterial small subunit ribosomal RNA", at positions 824 to 1394 of the family's 1533-position model. The record is from RNAcentral.